UGCAAGCAUUUUACGUCAACGAAAAAUUUCACCACAACAACAACAGUGCUGAAAAUCGGACCUAUCUAGCUAAAAAUUUCGCAAACAUUUCGUUCGUUUGAAUAUUCGAGUUAAAAAAUCACAAAAUUUGGUGACAUGGUGAAAAUAACGUGACAAUUUGACAGCAGUAUUAUCACAAUUUCUUACUAUAUAAAUAGCCAAACAUCGCUAAAUACACACUAAACGAGUCGGGAACAUUGUGCGACGAAAACAAGUACCUACUUCAGUAAAGUCGAGUCACAAAGCAGCACAAAGAUGAAACCAGUUCAUUUAUUAUUGAUGCUCAUAGCAGUGCAGACAUUCGCGCUGAUUUCCGCCGGAAGUGAUGACGAACAAAGCGGGGGAGCACUUAACAGCGUGGAGAAAGGUUUGGGUGUUGAUGGGGGACUCGGAGGAGGAGCCAAGGGGGGCGCUGGCAACUACCCAGGCUACAGUGGCAGCAGCACCAACGGCGACAGUAACGACGACGACCCGGCCAAAGGUGCAUAAAGCUAAAGCGACGAAGGCAGCGAGCUGCGAGCGUGGCAAAUGGUUCAUUCGUUCUUUAAGAUAUUCAUUGAGAACUGUGAAACAUUUCGUCUUCAUUGCUACAUUUCAACACGACGAUUUAUUAUCAACCCUAACACUUCAGAACUGCUCAGAAUUGGUUCAUAUUUAUUCACAUUUUAAAUUUUAAGACAUGAUAUUUUAAUAUUUUUAACGGGUUAUGGGUGGUGUAUAGUAGGUUUGUGUAGGUAACGACAAUUUAUGUUGCAUACUACCUAUACUUUAAUAAAGGAUUACUGCAUUCUGAAA
This is a long non-coding RNA of Planococcus citri (citrus mealybug), 834 nucleotides long. RefSeq lists it as uncharacterized. NCBI's taxonomy places the organism in Eukaryota, Metazoa, Arthropoda, Insecta, Hemiptera, Pseudococcidae. The record is from RefSeq and is a predicted model, not a curated record. The transcript is spliced from 2 exons.